CUUUGUUUUGGUUUUUCUAUCAUUGUUAUUGCUGUUGAAUUUUAUUUCCCCUUUUCAUUUUUGUUGGAUAGUGCAAAGGAAAGAAAUAUUUGGAUCCUUUCGAUAUGGCAUUUCUAUUUUUUGGUGGGUAGGUUGGGAAACAUUUAUGAAUGUUGCUUUUGGAUGGAUCAAUGUGAAGGACGUUGCAAAUGCGCAUAUUCUGGCAAAUGGACAUGCUUUGGAUAAUGGAAGAUAUUGUUUAGUUGAAAGAGUGAUACAUUUCUCUAAACUGAAAUUGAUGGAAACAAAUAUGGGAAUGCUCUUAUAUGGCAGGAUAAUAUCUUAUCUGGAGUUCUUAUCGAUGAAAAGAGACUUCUUGGUGCGGUUAUGUUGGAGGCAUGCACCAUAAUCGAAUCUUCUUUGACAAGUAUAAUCCAGGUUAUUUCGGUAAGUUAGUUGAGGGGAAGUGGGUUAUCAAGGGAGCAGUUGAUGUAAACACCGGUGCAAACCCUUCUGCCAAAGGUGGAGAAGAUAAGGGUGUUAAUGACACUGUUGUUAGGGUGGUUGACAUUGUUGAUGUAUUCAGACUUCAGUAGCAACUUCCUUGAGAAGCAAUUUGUUUUGUUAAGAAGUAUAUUAAGUUGUUGACUCCCAAAAUAGAUACUGAGAAUCAAGAGCACUUCAAACCUUGGCAUAAUGAUGGUAGCUUGAUCUUUUCCUACUACAAGGAUAGUGCUGCUGAUACAACAUUUCUUUAUUUUGCUCAUUCUUUGAAGGAGAUAAGUGUUAAGUGUUGUAUUGCGCUUGAUUUUCUAUCUCU
This is a long non-coding RNA of Vicia villosa (hairy vetch), 799 nucleotides long. RefSeq lists it as uncharacterized. The transcript has 4 exons. The record is from RefSeq and is a predicted model, not a curated record. NCBI's taxonomy places the organism in Eukaryota, Viridiplantae, Streptophyta, Magnoliopsida, Fabales, Fabaceae.